CCGAUGUCAAGGAAAGAAACGACUACCUGACUUUUAGAAGACACCUGAAGAUCCUGUAAGACAGGCGCCGACACGGAAAACAGCUGCGAACCGUGAGGCAGAUGUACUGAUACAGUUUGUCUUCCGCGACUGAGGGAAGUGAUGGAGGUCUAUCCCCAGUCAAGAUCAGCAUCUGUGUGGACUGCAGUUUGCAAAAA
Molecule: non-coding RNA, 197 nt
Organism: Podarcis muralis (Common wall lizard)
Lineage: Eukaryota; Metazoa; Chordata; Lepidosauria; Squamata; Lacertidae
Source: RefSeq, a predicted model, not a curated record